Coturnix japonica (Japanese quail) is the source of this 2439-nucleotide non-coding RNA. NCBI's taxonomy places the organism in Eukaryota, Metazoa, Chordata, Aves, Galliformes, Phasianidae. The record is from RefSeq and is a predicted model, not a curated record.
GAAGGUUACUAGGAUGAUCAGGAAAGAUUUGAGUGAGUCAGGAAAUGAUUGCAGUCUACAGAAGCCUAAAAUCCUAUUGACUUUCAGAUGCCAGAAAGGCCUGCUCAUGUCUGCAAGAUGAGUUUCUCAUGGCUCUGCACUGACUGUGAUGAUAACGUGUUGAUCCUUAUCCAUCGUGAGCUAUCUACAUCAUCUUCCUCGACCGCUAAGCUCUCAAAGCAAACACUGCAACCGAGGGACAAAAGUAAGGUUUUUAGGCUUGUUUCAGGGAGAAUCUUUCUCAUCCAUCACUGCAAGCUGUGGAGGAGAUGGGGUUCACCAACAAGUUUCUUCAUCCUGUUCCAUAGCAGAAGAAAACCGUGAUUAUCUGACAGCCAUUAGUGCACCUGCAGUGGGAGAGAAAAACCUUACACUUUAUCUAAGCAAUCAAUGGGAAGUUAAAGAGCAUCUGCUGUCAGCACAGAUUGAUCUGGAAUUCCUUCACCUCUUCAGAUCCUUGUGCAUCAAAUAUUAGUUUGCAUCAAAAGUUGGAACGGUGACUGAAAGAUCUUGGGAGUUCACAAAACUACAAGAGCAAAUCAAGGAAAAUGCCUUCCAUUUCUAUGGCCUGCAGACUUCAAAACCUGUAAUUGUGCUGGAAGUCUUUGAUCUCAACAUUACUCUUCUGUCGACUUUGAAGUCAAAAGCAUAGGGUUAUUGCAGUGGGGUCCUGAUGUGUCAAGUGUUAAUUCCAUGUAGCCACUUUCAAGGCACACCAUAUUAGCUACUGACCACUAAGUGCUAAAGGGUGUAACCACAUGGAGAGUUUUCUUCCUGCUCAAGGUUUCACACAUCAGUAGUUUCGGUGCACAGUUUUUUACUAAGAGAGAGUUCACUGGAGACCACUGAUGCAUAGGACCUCAGGAAUGUGUUUUCUGGGACAAAUGGGCAAUUACAUAUCUUUAAUAAUCAACUUUUACAGCAGAACAGGAGUUAAAACGAUGUCAAAAACUAACCACAAUAGUGCAAAUGUUAUUUUUGGAACCUAGGAGGGAGCCCAAGGAAGAGGAGGGAUGGACAGAGGCUGGCACAUGGGGAGCUGUGCCUGCUGACCCCUGGCAUGGGACCUGACUGCUACAGAUCCCCAUCUCUCCACAGCGUUGCUCCUAACUUUUGUCAUGCUGCAAUGAAGCAUCCCUGGAGUUCUGCAAUGUUUCCUAUGAGGCCAGAGUGGCUUUCUUAUUACAACCUCUUGAGCAUCGAUUCUCGAGGAGUUUCCUCAUCAUUAAAAGCUCGUCAAGGGCAAGGUUUGAAAAUACAAAUACACAAUGAUAAAGCAGAAUCAGCAUGUGUUGUGGCAUUGAGCAGUUUCUACCUGGUCAUCAUCAAUCUUUCAUGGUGUAGCAGGGGUGAUGUGUAGAACUUCUCUGGGCUGGUACAGCCCCUCACCAGGUGAGUUCAUAGGACAUCAGCUCCUUGCCCACAGCUGUAGUGGCACAGACCCUGUUUUUGUUUCAAGUUAAAAUGCUCUUUGAAGACCCUAAGUGAGCCUUUAGGUAAACUCACAAAUGGCUGUUGUGAAGAGGGUCUCUAAAAAUGGACUUUUAACAUAGUUAAGCUGAGAAAUGUCUUACGGAACGUUGCCAGCCUGUUUCUGACAAUAACGCCUUUACCUAAGGAGCAAAGUAUUUGUGACAAUGUCAAUAAAAAGCAGCUCUGACAGCAGCUUUGAGUAUCAGCAUAGAUGCAGAAUGCUGACUAUUACUUGUGUUAUCAAUUGGUAACACCUUUCACAAGCAAGAUGUCCCUGUAGAAAGCUGAGGCUUUUAUAAGCAUCGUCAUUUCCUGUCAGGUUUGACAUGGUUGGGUCUGAAUGGGUUUGAGGUUUUUGCUGUUGCUUAAAUCUGUGAUAAGAGAAGCGAGCAUCUUCUGAGGGAUGGGUGCUGAAAAUUGGACUCAGUUCAAAUGGCAAUGUUUUCAUUCAUUCUGCUGCGCUUUUUUUUCUGAGUUCUGAGAUCUGUCGAAGACAAACCUGAAGUAAUGGAGUGAUUCAACAAUUUUUUUGGUACUAAAACAGUGCACGUUCAGCUCAUACAGAGACUUAUUACUACACUAAAUAUCUUUCUCUUUUAAAGCUCUGGAGUUCAGGAACUCUGUGCAGUCACCAUGGCCUUCAGAUGCCCCAAGGGCACCAGCAGAGAGGAACGAGGGUGGCAAGAGCUCAGGCAGCUGUGAGCACACUGCAAUGUCAUGCUGUACAACAAAUGCCAGCAUUCAACCAGUGAGAAAUCUGGUAGCAUUUGGGGAUCACUGAAUGGAGGACUGGGCACUGAGAACUUCAUACUGCCCAGCAGCGAGGAGCAGACGUAUGUAAGUGAUGAAAAUUAAAGCACUAACCACAUCAAUUGUCCAGCAGAGAGGUCAUGGUGUACUUCAUUGGGUACUACAGGAAUAAGGGCU